UACGUAGGGUGCAAGCGUUAAUCGGAAUUACUGGGCGUAAAGCGUACGCAGGCGGCUAUGUAAGACAGGUGUGAAAUCCCCGGGCUCAACCCGGGAACUGCGUCCGAUACUGGCAGGCUUGAAUCCGGGAGAGGGAUGUGGAAUUCCAGGUGUAGCGGUGAAAUGCGUAGAUAUCUGGAGGAACACCGGUGGCGAAGGCGGCAUCCUGGACCGGUAUUGACGCUGAGGCGCGAAAGCCAGGGGAGCAAACGGG
RNAcentral lists this ribosomal RNA (253 nucleotides) under uncultured bacterium. RNAcentral describes it as "partial 16S ribosomal RNA". It matches the Rfam family "Bacterial small subunit ribosomal RNA", at positions 524 to 776 of the family's 1533-position model. The record is from RNAcentral.